This 407-nucleotide ribosomal RNA is filed under the name uncultured bacterium. RNAcentral describes it as "bacterial SSU rRNA". It matches the Rfam family "Bacterial small subunit ribosomal RNA", at positions 509 to 916 of the family's 1533-position model. The record is from RNAcentral.
CAGCAGCCGCGGUAAUACGUAGGCAGCGAGCGUUGUUCGGAGUUACUGGGCGUAAAGGGUGUGUAGGCGGCUUUUUAAGUUUGGUGUGAAAUCUCCCGGCUCAACUGGGAGGGUGCGCCGAAUACUGAAGGGCUAGAGUGCGGGAGAGGAGAGUGGAAUUCCUGGUGUAGCGGUGAAAUGCGUAGAUAUCAGGAGGAACACCGGUGGUGUAGACGGCUCUCUGGACCGUAACUGACGCUGAGACACGAAAGCGUGGGUAGCAAACAGGAUUAGAUACCCUGGUAGUCCACGCCCUAAACGAUGCAUAUUUGGUGUGGGUCAUUCAGUUGAUCCGUGCCGGAGCUAACGCGUUAAAUAUGCCGCCUGGGGAGUACAGUCGCAAGGCUGAAACUCAAAGGAAUUGACGG